This 253-nucleotide ribosomal RNA is filed under the name uncultured bacterium. RNAcentral describes it as "partial 16S ribosomal RNA". It matches the Rfam family "Bacterial small subunit ribosomal RNA", at positions 524 to 776 of the family's 1533-position model. The record is from RNAcentral.
UACGAAGGGGGCUAGCGUUGCUCGGAAUCACUGGGCGUAAAGCGCACGUAGGCGGCUUGCUAAGUCAGGGGUGAAAUCCUGGAGCUCAACUCCAGAACUGCCUUUGAUACUGGCGAUCUCGAGUCCGGGAGAGGUGAGUGGAACUGCGAGUGUAGGGGUGAAAUUCGUAGAUAUUCGCAAGAACACCAGUGGCGAAGGCGGCUCACUGGCCCGGUACUGACGCUGAGGUGCGAAAGCGUGGGGAGCAAACAGG